Long non-coding RNA from Glycine soja, 1473 nucleotides. RefSeq lists it as uncharacterized. The record is from RefSeq and is a predicted model, not a curated record. NCBI's taxonomy places the organism in Eukaryota, Viridiplantae, Streptophyta, Magnoliopsida, Fabales, Fabaceae. The transcript is spliced from 5 exons.
GUAAAUAUUACAUUUUUACGACGCGUGACGUCUACAACGACGUUUACUUCUAACACCAUCGUAGAAAUAGCGAGAUACAAAGACGGGUUUACAUAUAUACCGUCGUUAACAUUCUGUUUGAAUGUUAAUCUCCCCUGUUGCGCGCUCAUUGAACGUACCUCCAAAUCCCUCUCUGAAAAUUCUGCAUUCAACUGGUGUUGCGUGUUGGCCUGACUCUUCCUCGCACCACCAUGAACUCUGCAAAAGGAACCCUACAUUGUCGCGCAUCCCUGACCUUCGUGUCGCGUGUUGUUCGCACCACCAUAACCUCGGCGCAUCAUGCCCUUUAGUUAUCGUGCCCUGCAAGUGUUUGUGAAGGUACUAGGUUGAGACAAAAACUUACGAAGUAAAUUCUUGUUUCACAAGUGUCGGACUUCACUCUAGACUGUUGUGUCUGGUUUGCCACUGCUUUGAUCCUACUCAUAGCUGUUGUUAUUGAUCGUAUUUUUGAGGAUCAUGGGAACACCACCAGCAUCCCCUCUGCAGUCAGAUAUGCAGUCAGAGGUCAUGUCUAGGAAUACUAGACAAUCCACACAGCUAAGGAGGUUGACUCUAUGAACCUUAGAUCAGCUUAGACCAACUGUAAACGUUGAUGCUGCAACUGGUAGAAGAUUGGGCCCACAUAAAGAGAAAUUCCACAGCUAUCUAGGGGUCGUAGCUAGAGAAAAAAAUUCCAAUUGUACAUAACACUUGGAAAGAUGUACCAGACUCACUAAAGGACCUAGUAUGGGAUGACAUUUUGGCGAAAUUUGAUAUCCUAAAAGCGUCGAAUGCAAAGAAAAAGGUCAUGUCCACUAUGGCCACUAGAUGGAGGCAGUUUAAAUCAUCCCUCACCACUAAAUUUAUCUAUGCUAACUCUGAGGGACAACAUAAACAUGAUCCUUCAAUCAAAUAUGGCCUAGAUCCACAAACUCGAGAGGAAUUUUCCACAAGUCGCAAAACCCCUAACUGGCAGGGAAUCAGGAAGAUGAUGCAGGAAAUUCAAAAAUACAAUGACUGUCCCCAUUUAUUUUCUUGCGGGGGAUAUGAUUUGCUUGAAAAGAAGCUAUUAGACGAGAAAAUGAAGAAAAGACAACAUGACACAAUGAUGACUGAGAAUACACCACAAAUUAAGGACCCUCCAUCUCCCAUUGAAAGACAUGUUAAGUGGAAGUUGGCAUGCACUAAGCGAUAUGGGCAGAUAGAAUGACUGUUUUCUCCCCCAUUGAAUAUUAACUACUGCAUGAAGCUAAGUUCAUACAAUUCAUGACCACAUCAUAAAAGUAAGUGUCCAAGCCCACCUCUUUAAUGGUUUCAAUCACAAAGUCCCAUCUAAUUCUAUCAUAAGUUAUUUUCAUAUCAACUUUAAUAGCAACGAAUUGAAGCCUUUCUUGCUCUUCUUAAUAUGCAUGCAUCGUGUAAAAAAUUCUUGGAUAGAUAAUGUUAUUAAUCAAA